Molecule: ribosomal RNA, 462 nt
Filed under: uncultured bacterium
Lineage: Bacteria
Description: partial 16S ribosomal RNA
Rfam family: Bacterial small subunit ribosomal RNA
Source: RNAcentral
GACGAACGCUGGCGGCGUGCUUAACACAUGCAAGUCGAACGGAAAGGCCCUUCGGGUUACUCGAGUAGCUAACGGGUGAGUAACACGUGGGUGAGCUGCCCAGCACUUUAUGAUAAGCGGGGGAAACUGGGUCUAAUACCCAAUAGGAGCACGCUCUUCAUAGUGGGUGGGUGAAAGCGUUUGCGGUGUUGGCUGGGCCCGAGGCCGAUGAGCUUGUUGGUGGGGUAAUGGCCGACCACGGCAACGACGGGUAGCCGGCCUGAGAGCGUGACCGGCCACAAGGGUCCUGCGGUACGGCCCAGACUCGUAUGGGAGGCAGCAGUGGGGAAUAUUGCACAAUGGGCGCAAGCCUGAUGCAGAGACGCCGCGUGCGGGAUGCCGGCCUUCGGGUUGUAAACAUCUUUCAAUAGGGACGAAGCGCACGUGACGGUACCUAUAGAAGAAGCCCCGGCCAACUACGUG